This 492-nucleotide ribosomal RNA is filed under the name uncultured bacterium. RNAcentral describes it as "partial 16S ribosomal RNA". It matches the Rfam family "Bacterial small subunit ribosomal RNA", at positions 29 to 507 of the family's 1533-position model. The record is from RNAcentral.
AGUGAACGCUGGCGGUAUGCCUAACACAUGCAAGUCGAACGGCAGCACAGUAAGAGCUUGCUCUUAUGGGUGGCGAGUGGCGGACGGGUGAGGAAUACAUCGGAAUCUACUUUUUCGUGGGUGAUAACGUAGGGAAACUUACGCUAAUACCGCAUACGACCUACGGGUGAAAGCAGGGGAUCUUCGGACCUUGCGCGAUUGAAUGAGCCGAUGUCGGAUUAGCUAGUUGGCGGGGUAAAGGCCCACCAAGGCGACGAUCCGUAGCUGGUCUGAGAGGCUGAUCAGCCACACUGGAACUGAGACACGGUCCAGACUCCUACGGGAGGCAGCAGUGGGGAAUAUUGGACAAUGGGCGCAAGCCUGAUCCAGCCAUACCGCGUGGGUGAAGAAGGCCUUCGGGUUGUAAAGCCCUUUUGUUGGGAAAGAAAAGCAGCAGGUUAAUACCCCGCUGUUCUGACGGUACCCAAAGAAUAAGCACCGGCUAACUUCGUG